RNAcentral lists this ribosomal RNA (467 nucleotides) under uncultured bacterium. RNAcentral describes it as "partial 16S ribosomal RNA". It matches the Rfam family "Bacterial small subunit ribosomal RNA", at positions 28 to 506 of the family's 1533-position model. The record is from RNAcentral.
GACGAACGCUGGCGGCGUGCUUAACACAUGCAAGUCGAACGGAAAGGCCCUGCUUUUGUGGGGUGCUCGAGUGGCGAACGGGUGAGUAACACGUGAGUAACCUGCCCUUGACUUUGGGAUAACUUCAGGAAACUGGGGCUAAUACCGGAUAGGAGCUCCUGCUGCAUGGUGGGGGUUGGAAAGUUUCGGCGGUUGGGGAUGGACUCGCGGCUUAUCAGCUUGUUGGUGGGGUAGUGGCUUACCAAGGCUUUGACGGGUAGCCGGCCUGAGAGGGUGACCGGCCACAUUGGGACUGAGAUACGGCCCAGACUCCUACGGGAGGCAGCAGUGGGGAAUAUUGCACAAUGGGCGGAAGCCUGGUGCAGCAACGCCGCGUGCGGGAUGACGGCCUUCGGGUUGUAAACGGCUUUCGCCUGUGACGAAGCGUGAGUGACGGUAAUGGGUAAAGAAGCACCGGCUAACUACGU